GAUGAACGCUGGCGGCGUGCCUAAUACAUGCAAGUCGAGCGAACAGACGAGGAGCUUGCUCCUCUGACGUUAGCGGCGGACGGGUGAGUAACACGUGGAUAACCUACCUAUAAGACUGGGAUAACUUCGGGAAACCGGAGCUAAUACCGGAUAAUAUAUUGAACCGCAUGGUUCAAUAGUGAAAGACGGUUUUGCUGUCACUUAUAGAUGGAUCCGCGCCGCAUUAGCUAGUUGAUAAGGUAACGGCUUACCAAGGCAACGAUGCGUAGCCGACCUGAGAGGGUGAUCGGCCACACUGGAACGGAGACACGGUCCAGACUCCUACGGGAGGCAGCAGUAGGGAAUCUUCCGCAAUGGGCGAAAGCCUGACGGAGCAACGCCGCGUGAGUGAUGAAGGUCUUCGGAUCGUAAAACUCUGUUAUUAGGGAAGAACAAAUGUGUAAGUAACUAUGCACGUCUUGACGGUACCUAAUCAGAAAGCCACGGCUAACUACGUG
RNAcentral lists this ribosomal RNA (497 nucleotides) under uncultured bacterium. RNAcentral's name for it is "partial 16S ribosomal RNA". It matches the Rfam family "Bacterial small subunit ribosomal RNA", at positions 28 to 507 of the family's 1533-position model. The record is from RNAcentral.